CAGCCGCCACGGUAAUACGUAGGGACCAAGCGUUGUUCGGAUUUACUGGGCGUAAAGGGCGCGUAGGCGGCAAUUCAAGUCAUCUGUGAAAUCUCCGGGCUUAACUCGGAACGGUCAGAUGAUACUGCUUUGCUAGAGUACAGAAGGGGCAAUCGGAAUUCUUGGCGUAGCGGUGAAAUGCGUAGAUAUCAAGAGGAACACCUGAGGUGAAGACGGGUUGCUGGUCUGUAACUGACGCUGAGGAGCGAAAGCGUGGGGAGCGAACAGGAUUAGAUACCCCGGUAGUCCCUGUCUCUUAUAC
RNAcentral lists this ribosomal RNA (301 nucleotides) under uncultured bacterium. Its description in RNAcentral is "partial 16S ribosomal RNA". It matches the Rfam family "Bacterial small subunit ribosomal RNA", at positions 509 to 807 of the family's 1533-position model. The record is from RNAcentral.